Molecule: ribosomal RNA, 253 nt
Filed under: uncultured bacterium
Lineage: Bacteria
Description: partial 16S ribosomal RNA
Rfam family: Archaeal small subunit ribosomal RNA
Source: RNAcentral
UACCAGCACCCCGAGUGGUCGGGACGAUUAUUGGGCCUAAAGCAUCCGUAGCCGGUCCUACAAGUCUUCCGUUAAAUCCACCUGCUCAACAGAUGGGCUGCGGAAGACACUAUAGGGCUAGGAGGCGGGAGAGGCAAGCGGUACUCAGUGGGUAGGGGUAAAAUCCUCUGAUCCAUUGAAGACCACCAGUGGCGAAGGCGGCUUGCCAGAACGCGCUCGACGGUGAGGGAUGAAAGCUGGGGGAGCAAACCGG